Molecule: ribosomal RNA, 711 nt
Filed under: Triticum aestivum (bread wheat)
Lineage: Eukaryota; Viridiplantae; Streptophyta; Magnoliopsida; Poales; Poaceae
Description: partial small subunit ribosomal RNA
Source: RNAcentral
AUGGCGCACCAUGUCCAGGGUGCGCCAUUAGUAUCAAUUUUUUUUAAACUAGUGCGCCUGUCCAAACAUACUAAUGGCGCAUCCAUAGUAAGUGCGCCAUUACUAGUUGUAACUAGUAAUGGCGCACCAGCCAGAAAUACUAAUGGCGCACUCACACGUGGUGCGCCAUCUACAGCGACCGCUUCAUCCCCAGCCGCACCGGAUCCAACCUCGCGCUCUUCGACCUCGCCCCGGCCCACUCCUCCUCUGCCUCCGGAUCUGCCGCUCCCCCCUCACCCUACUGCGCGCUCCUCCGCGCGGUGCUCUUCGGGCCCGACACGCCCGACCGCCUCGCCUCCUCCGCCGGGGCCUCCUCCUCCUCCGCGGCCUCCCCCGUCGGCUCCCCCGCCGGCGGCAACAUAUUCCGCUUCAAGGCCGAGGUGCCGAGGAACGCCAAGCGGGCGCUCUUCACCGGCGGGGACGACCAGGACCUGCUCUUCCCUGGCAUCUUCACCCCCAAGGGCUCCGGCCCCAGGAAGAUCCCCAGGUAGCCCUACAAGGUGCUGGAUGCGCCCGCAUUGCGGGACGACUUCUACCUCAACCUCGUGGAUUGGUCUUCGCACAAUGUCCUCUCGGUCGGAUUGGGGAAUUGCGUCUACCUGUGGAAUGCAUGUAGAAGCAAGGUCACCAAGCUCUGCGAUUUGGGGUCGGACGACACCGUUUGUUCCGUGA